ACAACGCCAUUAUUGACGAGAUCACUCCCAAGCGGAUUGGAGAUUGUCCCAAUAUUUAGACCUAUAGCAAGGCCUUGGGAGAAAUGGUGGUGCAGCAGGAGAGCAGGAACCUAACCAUUGCCAUCCUAAGGCCCUCCAUUGUGUGGAGCAACGUGGCACCAGCUUUUCCUGGGUUGGGUUGAUAAUCUAAAUGGAUGUAGCCGACUCAUUAUUGCGGCUGGGAAAGGGUUUCUUUUGGCCAUAAAAGCUACUCCAAUGGCUGUGGGAGACUUAAUUCCAAUUCCAGGUGAUACAGCCGUCAGUCUCCCACUAGCUGUAGGAUGGUGUGCUGCAGUUCACAGACCUAAGUCAAUGUUAGUCUACUACUGUACAUCUGGUAACCUCAAUCCCUGCAACCGAGGCAAAAUGGGAUUCCAGGUCUUGGCAACCUUUGAAAUUCCAAUUCCAUUUGCGAGAGCUUUGAGGAGGCCAUAUGCUGAUUUUACCACCAGCAACUUCACAACCCAGUACUGGAAUGCCAUCAGCCAGCAGGCCCCUGCCAUCAUCUGUGACUUCUAUCUGUGGCUCACUGGAAGGAAACCCAG
RNAcentral lists this long non-coding RNA (584 nucleotides) under Homo sapiens (human). RNAcentral's name for it is "non-protein coding lnc-PLEKHB2-1:11". The record is from RNAcentral. Lineage: Eukaryota; Metazoa; Chordata; Mammalia; Primates; Hominidae.